UCGAGAAUCUUUCACAAUGGGGGAAACCCUGAUGGAGUGACGCCGCGUGGAGGUUAAGGUCUUCGGAUUGUAAACUCCUGUCAUGCGAGAACAAAGCCCGCAAGGGUGUGAUAGUACCGCAAGAGGAAGAGACGGCUAACUCUGUGCCAGCAGCCGCGGUAAUACAGAGGUCUCAAGCGUUGUUCGGAAUUACUGGGCGUAAAGGGUGCGCAGGCCGCGCGGGCAGUCAAAUGUGUAAUCCAGGGGCUCAACCCCUGAACUGCGCUUGAUACUUCCGCGCUCGAGCUUUGGAGAGGAGUCUGGAAUUCUCGGUGUAGCAGUGAAAUGCGUGGAUAUCGAGAAGAACACUUAGGGCGAAGGCAAGACUCUGGACAAAUGCUGACGCUCAUGCACGAAGGCUAGGGUAGCGAACGGG
This 415-nucleotide ribosomal RNA is filed under the name uncultured bacterium. RNAcentral describes it as "bacterial SSU rRNA". It matches the Rfam family "Bacterial small subunit ribosomal RNA", at positions 355 to 776 of the family's 1533-position model. The record is from RNAcentral.